CACGGGGGGAGCAAGCGUUGUUCGGAAUCACUGGGCGUAAAGGGCGUCUAGGCGGUCAGAUAAGUGGGAUGUGAAAUGCCCCGGCUCACCCGGGGACCGGCAUCCCAAACUGUCUGGCUUGAGUAUGGGAGAGGAUGUGGGAAUUCCUGGUGUAGCGGUGAAAUGCGUAGAUAUCAGGAGGAACACCGGUGGCGAAGGCGGGUCUCUGGGCAAUUCCUGACGCUGAGGCGCGAAAGCGUGGGGAGCGAACAGG
RNAcentral lists this ribosomal RNA (253 nucleotides) under uncultured bacterium. Its description in RNAcentral is "partial 16S ribosomal RNA". It matches the Rfam family "Bacterial small subunit ribosomal RNA", at positions 524 to 776 of the family's 1533-position model. The record is from RNAcentral.